UAAGGUAAAGCUUUAUAGUUAAGCUCUUCACUUACGUUGAAAGGAUAUUCGUGCGAUUCGAUUUGCCUUAA
RNAcentral lists this transfer RNA (71 nucleotides) under Panulirus penicillatus. RNAcentral describes it as "tRNA-Val". The record is from RNAcentral. Lineage: Eukaryota; Metazoa; Arthropoda; Malacostraca; Decapoda; Palinuridae.